This 204-nucleotide ribosomal RNA is filed under the name Vibrio parahaemolyticus. RNAcentral's name for it is "partial 23S ribosomal RNA". It matches the Rfam family "Bacterial large subunit ribosomal RNA", at positions 888 to 1091 of the family's 2925-position model. Lineage: Bacteria; Pseudomonadati; Pseudomonadota; Gammaproteobacteria; Vibrionales; Vibrionaceae. The record is from RNAcentral.
GAAUACUACUGGGGGUAGAGCACUGUUAAGGCUAGGGGGUCAUCCCGACUUACCAACCCUUUGCAAACUCCGAAUACCAGUAAGUACUAUCCGGGAGACACACGGCGGGUGCUAACGUCCGUCGUGGAGAGGGAAACAACCCAGACCGCCAGCUAAGGUCCCAAAUUACUACUAAGUGGGAAACGAUGUGGGAAGGCUCAGACA